AUUGAACGCUGGCGGCAGGCCUAACACAUGCAAGUCGAGCGGAUGAAGGGAGCUUGCUCCUGGAUUCAGCGGCGGACGGGUGAGUAAUGCCUAGGAAUCUGCCUGGUAGUGGGGGAUAACGUCCGGAAACGGGCGCUAAUACCGCAUACGUCCUGAGGGAGAAAGUGGGGGGUCUUCGGACCUCACGCUAUCAGAUGAGCCUAGGUCGGAUUAGCUAGUUGGUGGGGUAAAGGCAUACCAAGGCGACGAUCCGUAACUGGUCUGAGAGGAUGAUCAGUCACACUGGAACUGAGACACGGUCCAGACUCCUACGGGAGGCAGCAGUGGGGAAUAUUGGACAAUGGGGGAAAGCCUGAUCCAGCCAUGCCGCGUGUGGGAAGAAGGUCUUCGGAUUGUAAAGCACUGUAAGUUGGGAGGAAGGGAAGUAAGUUAAUACCUGGCUGUUUUGACGUUACCAACAGAAUAAGCACCGGCUAACUUCGUG
RNAcentral lists this ribosomal RNA (484 nucleotides) under uncultured bacterium. RNAcentral describes it as "partial 16S ribosomal RNA". It matches the Rfam family "Bacterial small subunit ribosomal RNA", at positions 30 to 507 of the family's 1533-position model. The record is from RNAcentral.